This 252-nucleotide ribosomal RNA is filed under the name uncultured bacterium. Its description in RNAcentral is "partial 16S ribosomal RNA". It matches the Rfam family "Bacterial small subunit ribosomal RNA", at positions 525 to 776 of the family's 1533-position model. The record is from RNAcentral.
ACGGAGGGUGCAAGCGUUAAUCGGAAUUACUGGGCGUAAAGGGUGCGUAGGCGGUUUAAUAAGUCGGGUGUGAAAGCCCCAAGCUUAACUUGGGAAUUGCAUCCGAUACUGUUGAACUAGAGUGUGGUAGAGGGAAGCGGAAUUCCGGGUGUAGCGGUGAAAUGCGUAGAUAUCCGGAGGAACACCAGUGGCGAAGGCGGCUUCCUGGACCAACACUGACGCUCAAGCACGAAAGCGUGGGGAGCAAACAGG